This 923-nucleotide ribosomal RNA is filed under the name Escherichia coli. Its description in RNAcentral is "partial 23S ribosomal RNA". It matches the Rfam family "Bacterial large subunit ribosomal RNA", at positions 375 to 1301 of the family's 2925-position model. The record is from RNAcentral. Lineage: Bacteria; Pseudomonadati; Pseudomonadota; Gammaproteobacteria; Enterobacterales; Enterobacteriaceae.
GUACACAAAAAUGCACAUGCUGUGAGCUCGAUGAGUAGGGCGGGACACGUGGUAUCCUGUCUGAAUAUGGGGGGACCAUCCUCCAAGGCUAAAUACUCCUGACUGACCGAUAGUGAACCAGUACCGUGAGGGAAAGGCGAAAAGAACCCCGGCGAGGGGAGUGAAAAAGAACCUGAAACCGUGUACGUACAAGCAGUGGGAGCACGCUUAGGCGUGUGACUGCGUACCUUUUGUAUAAUGGGUCAGCGACUUAUAUUCUGUAGCAAGGUUAACCGAAUAGGGGAGCCGAAGGGAAACCGAGUCUUAACUGGGCGUUAAGUUGCAGGGUAUAGACCCGAAACCCGGUGAUCUAGCCAUGGGCAGGUUGAAGGUUGGGUAACACUAACUGGAGGACCGAACCGACUAAUGUUGAAAAAUUAGCGGAUGACUUGUGGCUGGGGGUGAAAGGCCAAUCAAACCGGGAGAUAGCUGGUUCUCCCCGAAAGCUAUUUAGGUAGCGCCUCGUGAAUUCAUCUCCGGGGGUAGAGCACUGUUUCGGCAAGGGGGUCAUCCCGACUUACCAACCCGAUGCAAACUGCGAAUACCGGAGAAUGUUAUCACGGGAGACACACGGCGGGUGCUAACGUCCGUCGUGAAGAGGGAAACAACCCAGACCGCCAGCUAAGGUCCCAAAGUCAUGGUUAAGUGGGAAACGAUGUGGGAAGGCCCAGACAGCCAGGAUGUUGGCUUAGAAGCAGCCAUCAUUUAAAGAAAGCGUAAUAGCUCACUGGUCGAGUCGGCCUGCGCGGAAGAUGUAACGGGGCUAAACCAUGCACCGAAGCUGCGGCAGCGACACUAUGUGUUGUUGGGUAGGGGAGCGUUCUGUAAGCCUGUGAAGGUGUACUGUGAGGUAUGCUGGAGGUAUCAGAAGUGCGAAUGCUGAC